GUUGUGCCAAAGAAGGGAGGGAAGGAGCGCAUGUGUGUCGACUUCACCAACCUCAACAAAGCAUGCCCGCAAGAUCCGUUCCCGCUCCCCCGCAUCGACCAGAUCGUCGAUUCCACCGCAGAAUGCGACCUGCUAUGCUUCUUGGAUGCCUUCUCCGGGUAUCACCAGAUAAAGAUGGCAGUAGAAGAUGUCGAAAAGACAGCCUUCCUAACCCCGUGUGGGGUGUACUGCUACACAUGCAUGCCAUUCGGGCUGCGUAACGCGGGGGCGACCUUUCAGCGGCUGAUGCGCAUCACCUUGGGACCGCAGCUUGGGAAGAAUGUUGAAGCUUAUGUCGAUGACAUUGUGGUAAAGUCUCGGGAGGCCAGGACCCUGAUACAAGACCUGGAGGAAACCUUCGCGAGCCUC
Molecule: ribosomal RNA, 408 nt
Filed under: Triticum aestivum (bread wheat)
Lineage: Eukaryota; Viridiplantae; Streptophyta; Magnoliopsida; Poales; Poaceae
Description: partial small subunit ribosomal RNA
Source: RNAcentral